Molecule: non-coding RNA, 151 nt
Organism: Pelobates cultripes (western spadefoot toad)
Lineage: Eukaryota; Metazoa; Chordata; Amphibia; Anura; Pelobatidae
Source: the annotation of a GenBank genome assembly
AACGGUGGUGGCCAAGAGUUCAUAGUGACGUCGCAUUUGAUCCUUCGAUGUCAGCUCGUCCGAUCAUUGUGAAGCAUAAUUCACCAAGCGUUGGAUCGUUCACCCACUGAUAGGAAACAUGAGCUGAAAUUAGACCAUCGUGAGACAGGUU